UCCGGUUUAACACCGGCAGUCUCGCUAGAGUGAUAAGCCUAACUGUUAGCAACUAACGACAAGGGUUGCGCUCGUUGCGGGACUUAACCCAACAUCUCACGACACGAGCUGACGACAGCCAUGCAGCACCUGGACAUCCAGUUCCCUUGCGGGCACAUCCACAUCUCUGCGGACUUCUGGAGGGUUCCAACCCAGGUAAGGUUCUUCGCGUUGCGUCGAAUUAAACCACAUACUCCACCGCUUGUGCGGGCCCCCGUCAAUUCCUUUGAGUUUCAGUCUUGCGACCGUACUCCCCAGGCGGCGAACUUAACGCGUUAGCUUCGAUACUGCGUGCCAAAUUGCACCCAACAUCCAGUUCGCAUCGUUUAGGGCGUGGACUAC
This 381-nucleotide unclassified non-coding RNA is filed under the name uncultured Pseudomonadota bacterium. RNAcentral's name for it is "uncultured proteobacterium contains 16S-23S intergenic spacer region". Lineage: Bacteria; Pseudomonadati; Pseudomonadota. The record is from RNAcentral.